GCGGUAACACCGGCGCCACAAGUGGGGGUCGCGAUUAUUGGGCCUAAAGCGUUCGUAGCCGACCUUGUAAGUCUCUUGUGAAAUUGUCAGGCUUAACCUGGCGAAUGGCAAGAGAUACUGCUUGGUUAGGGACCGGGAGGAGGCAGAGGUACUCUUUGGGUAGCGGUAAAAUGCUAUAAUCCUUA
Molecule: ribosomal RNA, 185 nt
Filed under: Candidatus Woesearchaeota archaeon
Lineage: Archaea; Nanobdellati; Candidatus Woesearchaeota
Description: partial 16S ribosomal RNA
Rfam family: Archaeal small subunit ribosomal RNA
Source: RNAcentral